UCGUGCUGGGAGACAGUGUCAGGCGGGCAGUUUGACUGGGGCGGUCGCCUCCUAAAGAGUAACGGAGGCGCUCAAAGGUUCCCUCAGAAUGGUUGGAAAUCAUUCAUAGAGUGUAAAGGCAUAAGGGAGCUUGACUGCGAGACCUACAAGUCGAGCAGGGUCGAAAGACGGACUUAGUGAUCCGGUGGUUCCGCAUGGAAGGGCCAUCGCUCAACGGAUAAAAGCUACCCCGGGGAUAACAGGCUUAUCUCCCCCAAGAGUUCACAUCGACGGGGAGGUUUGGCACCUCGAUGUCGGCUCAUCGCAUCCUGGGGCUGUAGUCGGUCCCAAGGGUUGGGCUGUUCGCCCAUUAAAGCGGUACGCGAGCUGGGUUCAGAACGUCGUGAGACAGUUCGGUCCCUAUCCGUCGUGGGCGUAGGAAAUUUGAGAGGAGCUGUCCUUAGUACGAGAGGACCGGGAUGGACAUACCUCUGGUGUACCAGUUGUCGUGCCAACGGCAUAGCUGGGUAGCUAUGUAUGGACGGGAUAAGUGCUGAAAGCAUCUAAGCAUGAAGCCCCCCUCGAGAUGAGAUUUCCCAACUUCGGUUAUAAG
This 592-nucleotide ribosomal RNA is filed under the name Staphylococcus pseudintermedius. RNAcentral's name for it is "partial 23S ribosomal RNA". It matches the Rfam family "Bacterial large subunit ribosomal RNA", at positions 2239 to 2832 of the family's 2925-position model. The record is from RNAcentral. Lineage: Bacteria; Bacillati; Bacillota; Bacilli; Caryophanales; Staphylococcaceae.